ACGGGGUGCAGCAGGCGCGAAAACUUUGCAAUGUGCGAAAGCACGACAAGGUUAAUCCGAGUGGUUUCUGCUAAAGGAACCUUUUGUUAGUCCUAGAAACACUAACGAAUAAGGGGUGGGCAAGUUCUGGUGUCAGCCGCCGCGGUAAAACCAGCACCUCAAGUGGUCAGGAUGAUUAUUGGGCCUAAAGCAUCCGUAGCCGGCUCUGUAAGUUUUCGGUUAAAUCUGUACGCUUAACGUACAGGCUGCCGGGAAUACUGCAGAACUAGGGAGUGGGAGAGGUAGACGGUACUCGGGAGGAAGUGGUAAAAUGCUUUGAUCUCUCGAUGACCACCUGUGGCGAAGGCGGUCUACCAGAACACGUCCGACGGUGAGGGAUGAAAGCUGGGGGAGCAAACCGGAUUAGAUACCCGGGUAGUCCCAGCUGUAAACUAUGCAAACUCGGUGAUGCAUUGGCUUGAUGCCAAUGCAGUGCCGCAGGGAA
This 484-nucleotide ribosomal RNA is filed under the name uncultured archaeon. RNAcentral's name for it is "bacterial SSU rRNA". It matches the Rfam family "Archaeal small subunit ribosomal RNA", at positions 325 to 810 of the family's 1478-position model. The record is from RNAcentral.